This 305-nucleotide unclassified non-coding RNA is filed under the name plant metagenome. RNAcentral's name for it is "partial contains 5.8S ribosomal RNA, internal transcribed spacer 2, and large subunit ribosomal RNA". The stretch from base 1 to 105 matches the Rfam family "5.8S ribosomal RNA", at positions 50 to 154 of the family's 154-position model. The record is from RNAcentral.
GAAAUGCGAUAAGUAGUGUGAAUUGCAGAAUUCAGUGAAUCAUCGAAUCUUUGAACGCACAUUGCGCCCUUUGGUAUUCCUUAGAGCAUGCCUGUUCGAGCGUCAUCUAAACCUUCAAGCCCUGCUUGGUGUUGGGUGCCUGUCCCGCCUCCGCGCGCGGACUCACCUCAAAUCCAUUGGCGGCCCCCGCGUCGGCCACGAGCGCAGCAGAAACGCGAACUCGUGAGCCCGUCCGGGCGGCUCCCAGAAGCUACACCCACCCAGUUUGACCUCGGAUCAGGUAGGGAUACCCGCUGAACUUAAGC